Molecule: unclassified non-coding RNA, 430 nt
Filed under: soil metagenome
Description: partial contains 5.8S ribosomal RNA, internal transcribed spacer 2, and large subunit ribosomal RNA
Rfam family: 5.8S ribosomal RNA (bases 1-120)
Source: RNAcentral
GAUGAAGAACGCAGCGAAAUGCGAUACGUAAUGUGAAUUGCGGAAUUCAGUGAAUCAUCGAAUAUUUGAACGCAUAUUGCGCUCUCUGGUAUUCCGGAGAGCAUGCUUGUUUGAGUAUCAGUAAACACCUCAACUACCUUUUCUUUUUUGAAAUUGGAGCUGGACUUGAGUGAUCCCAACGCUUUCUUCCAAGAAAGUGGCGGGUUGCUUGAAAUGCAGGUGCAGCUGAACUUUUCUCUGAGCUAUAAGCAUAUCUAUUUAGUCUGCCUAAAAAACAGAUUAUUACCUUUGCUGCAGCUAACAUAAAGGAGACUAGUUCUUGUGCUGACUGAUGCAGGAUUCACAGAGACAGCUUCGGCUGACUUUGUAAACUCGAUCUCAAAUCAAGUAAGACUACCCGCUGAACUUAAGCAUAUCAAUAAGCGGAGGA